RNAcentral lists this transfer RNA (59 nucleotides) under Loxodonta africana (African savanna elephant). It matches the Rfam family "tRNA", at positions 8 to 63 of the family's 71-position model. From Rfam's summary of the family: Transfer RNA (tRNA) molecules are approximately 80 nucleotides in length. Their secondary structure includes four short double-helical elements and three loops (D, anti-codon, and T loops). Further hydrogen bonds mediate the characteristic L-shaped molecular structure. tRNAs have two regions of fundamental functional importance: the anti-codon, which is responsible for specific mRNA codon recognition, and the 3' end, to which the tRNAs corresponding amino acid is attached (by aminoacyl-tRNA synthetases). tRNAs cope with the degeneracy of the genetic code in two manners: having more than one tRNA (with a specific anti-codon) for a particular amino acid; and 'wobble' base-pairing, i.e. permitting non-standard base-pairing at the 3rd anti-codon position. The record is from Rfam by way of RNAcentral. Lineage: Eukaryota; Metazoa; Chordata; Mammalia; Proboscidea; Elephantidae.
UGGUAUAAACGGUUAACACACUUGGCUGCUAACCAAAAGGAUGGAGGUUCAAGUCCCCC